ACUGAAUGCUGGAGGCAACUGGAACACAAUGGAGAUGAACGGAGAUGACCCAUCAUUUCACCUACCCAGUGGUAACUGCAAUACCUUUCAGGAGGAAAAAGCACACAGCCCCUGAGAGGAAGGUCCUCACCCAUGGACGCAGCUUGCUGAUGGCAGUGAUAAGAUCAAUCAGGAUUUUGGGUUUGGCAAUUUCCCCCUAUACAACGAUAGUUUCCACCUUUCAUGCUGAGGUGCUUCUUGACUGGGAAGGAGUGGAAGAGGUCCUAGGUGCAGAAGGGUAUGGAAGAUAAGGUCAAAGGAUGUGCUGGUGGGAAUGGGAGACAACUGAGAAGGUGAGACAAGCUGGAGGAAAUGUCAGGAGCUGCUGAGAGAAGCUCAGCCUGACCAGAGAUGAGAAUUGCCAUCUUGAAUCGUCAGGAAGUGAAGGAAAGCCCAGGUGAAUGCCACCCAAUCAAAAAGAAAAAACAAAUGCAGAUGGUAAGGUAGAGAAGGCUCUGAAGCCCAGGUAAUGAGAGCCAUGUUACCCUGGACAGAAGCAUCCAACACCACACAUCUCCAAGGAUGUUGGAGAUCCAGCAUCUGGAUCCAGCUAACUUCUGCAUCCUCUUCUGUACUCACAAGAGUUAACAUGGACGUCCAUGCAUCUGCUGGACAACACCCCCUAGAACGAGUGUCUUUGUAUGUUUUCACACACAUAAUGAUGUUAUAUCUGCUGCCAUCCUACUGAGUAAGGG
Molecule: long non-coding RNA, 734 nt
Filed under: Homo sapiens (human)
Lineage: Eukaryota; Metazoa; Chordata; Mammalia; Primates; Hominidae
Description: HSALNT0168126
Source: RNAcentral